RNAcentral lists this ribosomal RNA (253 nucleotides) under uncultured bacterium. RNAcentral's name for it is "partial 16S ribosomal RNA". It matches the Rfam family "Bacterial small subunit ribosomal RNA", at positions 524 to 776 of the family's 1533-position model. The record is from RNAcentral.
UACGUAGGCAGCGAGCGUUGUUCGGAAUUACUGGGCGUAAAGAGUGUGUAGGCGGUGCUCUAAGUUCGGUGUGAAAUCUCCCGGCUUAACUGGGAGGGUGCGCCGGAAACUGGAGUGCUCGAGCGUGGGAGAGGAAAGCGGAAUUCCUGGUGUAGCGGUGAAAUGCGUAGAUAUCAGGAGGAACACCUGCGGUGUAGACGGCUUUCUGGACCAUUGCUGACGCUGAGACGCGAAAGCGUGGGGAGCGAACAGG